Coturnix japonica (Japanese quail) is the source of this 1678-nucleotide long non-coding RNA. Lineage: Eukaryota; Metazoa; Chordata; Aves; Galliformes; Phasianidae. The record is from Ensembl.
CAUAUGCAGUAGUGUAUGGGAAAUUGAUAAUCACAGCCUGAACCUUUGAUUAAUCAGCUGAGGCAAGUGUUGGGUCAGCUGGGGGAACGCAGGUGAGAGUAAUUUAGUUGUGCUCCCAGAAGGGGUGGAGCUUGACUCUAUCUCCUCUAGACCUCAUUUAAGGGCUGACCACCACUAAGACAGCUUCUCUUGGAGAUUGUCUCAGUGGUUCCCUGCAGACUGAAGGCUUCCAUUGGGUGAAUUUUUCCUGUAAAUAACCUUUUGGGUAUUUACAAUUACCAUCUUUCCAUUAUUGUCACUGUACAAGUAUGUAUUUUGAUUUGGUUUGGUUUUCCUCUGCAGACUCUCCUUUAAUCUGUUUAUUGUUGUUGUUUUGUUUUAAGGUACAGAGGUUCAUUUAUCUGUAUGUGACCUAAAUUCCAAUACCACAAACUCCUCCUUCUUCUCUUUUAAGCACAUGGUACUUGUUGACAGCUUACCAAGGGAAGCAGGUGCAGGUUGAAUGCAAGAGGACAAGUUUCCUUCCCUGACUGGAGAGAUAGAACUGAAUUAUACUGAAACUGCAUAGAGCCUAUAGUCAAAGUCAUUAUGUCCAGCUGUGUUUUUGGAGAAGGUUCUAGAUCACUCAGGGCUGUGGUCCUACUGCCAGGGCUUGCACAAACACUGAGGUGGAAAUACCAAAGAACAGCUAUUGGGAGAGGAGGGAGGAGAACGUCUUUGGGAAAAACUGAUAUAGCGUUCAAUAAAAAUAGGAAUAGCAGAUUUUUACAUGUCCAAAGUUAGAAAGGGCUUUCUGGUACUUCAUCUUGUCUUUGUACCUCUGCUCAUACAAACACUACCCUGAAAUAAGCUGUAAAAUAUACUUUAACGAAGUAUAUAUAAAAAGAAUUACAUAUGUAAUUACUAAUCCCAAAUAUCAGUCUAGCCUUGUACUUUCCAUCGUGAGCCUGUAACAAUCUUCCUUUUCAAAUUUCUAUUUCCUUACCAUGAGAAGAAAGGUCAACUCAAGCAGCAAAAGAUAAUGGACACAGAAUUCAGGACACAGAAUUUAUGUUUAGAAAAUGAACAGCUUGCCUUUGGAGAAUUAAUAUGAAACAGCCAAAUUGCUUAAGAAAGAGAUUAUUUUGCCUAUUCACCUUUCUUCCUGGUAUCUUUUGCUAGAUAUUUUCCUAGAAUGACCCAUCUUUGCAAAUUUCAGUUCAUUCUCAAAGCAGCAGCCAAGGAUUACUCAUGUGGUCAGCACUGAUGCAGCUCAAUUUUACACGCAUGUCUACCAGUCAUGUGAGAAAGAAUUCCUCUGUUUUGGGAUGUGCCAAGUAUCAGUACUUCUAGGUAUCUUGUUUGUUGAUUUGAAAAUGAACCUGGUAAUCAUCACUAACAAGGGGUAGAGAAGGAGGAGGAAAAUUAUUGCACUACUUCACAAAUCUCUGUUCCUAAAUCAGAGGAAGAGGGUGACUGCUUUCUUUGUUAAAUUUUCCAAUUAUACUUUUGACUCACUUCAUACACUGGCAGAACAGACCCACAUCUUAUCUGUUUUCAUUUGCUACUGUCUCUUUGGUUAUUUUUCCUUACAUGCAAUUCAUAUCCUAUAAAGCAUUUCCCAAGAGGUAGAAACUGUUAACAGCACAGCCUACGCACAAUCAAUAAAAAGUGGUAAAUGCUUCCCUAAAUUAAUAAU